UCUUGGCAAAUUCCUAAAUCACAUAUUGCCCUAACUCCCCUCUGCCUUCCCCCUCUCAUUGUAACUCGCUUCCUUCUCUAGCCCAUUGUCGCCGCCGCCUCCUCGCUGCCUCUACGCUUGCUGCCUCCAGAGCACGCUUACUGGUCGUCAUCAUCGUCGCUGCCGCCUCCUCGCUGCCUCAACGCCAUCGCCGCCGCCGCCUCCUUAACGCCCCCUCAACGCCGCCGACGGCUCCAGCUGGUGAAGAGAGCAUGAAAAGAUAUAGAAUAUGGAUCAUGAAUGGGUAAAGAACUCGAAUAGGGUAUCUCCUCAGUAUGUGGCAAGGAACGAGCACAGAAGAACGAUGACUCUUGUGCAAAACAAAAGUGAGAAUCUAGAAAUGGUUUGAGGAGUACAACGCGUCAUCACGUUAUUCAUGGAGCUGAUUUGGAUGCUUCAACAUGACAUUUUGAGACUUGGCAUCUUCGACAUUAGCAUUUCGAACUUGGUUGGUCGUCUCUAAAGUUAGAGACUAAAUAUGAACAAAUGAUGCGGCGAGAUAAUCCUCCAGAUAAAAUAACUGAUAAGGAUAUCUUAGAGAAGAUCAUUGGACGACAAUCUGUUUGCUUGUUUGGUUGGGGCCCCCAACUUGGGGGCGAUUUCUUAGUACUUUUGGAGCAACAUGCAAAAAGAGACUUAAUGUUCUUCUCAAUGGUACACGUGGAUUAGACGGAUGAGGCAUAAUAUUCUUUUCAAUCAACACUUGUCACAACAUGUUUACGUCUCCUUAGAGUUCUUGAAAAAGAGAC
Diospyros lotus (date-plum) is the source of this 788-nucleotide long non-coding RNA. RefSeq lists it as uncharacterized. NCBI's taxonomy places the organism in Eukaryota, Viridiplantae, Streptophyta, Magnoliopsida, Ericales, Ebenaceae. The transcript has 3 exons. The record is from RefSeq and is a predicted model, not a curated record.